Molecule: long non-coding RNA, 417 nt
Filed under: Lynx pardinus (Iberian lynx)
Lineage: Eukaryota; Metazoa; Chordata; Mammalia; Carnivora; Felidae
Source: RNAcentral
UAAAAACACACAACGCCUGAAAUACACCCUUAAUCGAUUUGUCCGAGAGAAAGAAAAAGUUCUAAGAGAGCUAGGAAAUUCCUCCCGGGACCCGCAGGAGCACUGGGGAGUAGAAGACGGAGAGGAACCUUCAAACAGCAGAGCCGUGGGAGGAGAGGCAGGAGGGCCCCUCUCUGUUGCCAGAGGCUCCCACACCCAGAUGCAGGCCAGAGCGAUCCCUCAUAAUUUAAGCUGACACCCCUCAGUGGAGAUGAAAGGAACACUACUCGCUGUCUCCGACAACAAAUGUCAGCAUCCCUGGAGGCCAUUUAGACACAAACACAGCAUAAAUCUGACUCCUAGUGGGGAAGGCCAGAGAUUAAGUCUCCUCGCACAGCCUAACAGAGUGAAAUGAAUUUGCUUGGCAUAAAGUUUGAA